GGGCUCGUGGUGUAGUCUGGUUAACAUGUCAGCUUGUCACGCUGAAGAUCGCGCGUUCGAAUCGCGUCGAGCCCG
Molecule: transfer RNA, 75 nt
Filed under: Candidatus Omnitrophota bacterium
Lineage: Bacteria; Pseudomonadati; Candidatus Omnitrophota
Description: Candidatus Omnitrophica bacterium (sediment metagenome) tRNA-Asp
Rfam family: tRNA
About the family: Transfer RNA (tRNA) molecules are approximately 80 nucleotides in length. Their secondary structure includes four short double-helical elements and three loops (D, anti-codon, and T loops).
Source: RNAcentral